UUACCAAUUCCUUGAUAACCGC
RNAcentral lists this non-coding RNA (22 nucleotides) under Arabidopsis thaliana (thale cress). Lineage: Eukaryota; Viridiplantae; Streptophyta; Magnoliopsida; Brassicales; Brassicaceae. The record is from RNAcentral.